Molecule: transfer RNA, 71 nt
Filed under: Marmota monax (woodchuck)
Lineage: Eukaryota; Metazoa; Chordata; Mammalia; Rodentia; Sciuridae
Description: tRNA.Ala
Source: RNAcentral
GGGGUUGUGGCUCAGGGGUAGAGUGCUCAACUAGCAUAUCUGAGUACCUGGGUUUGAUCCUCAGCACCACA